Ribosomal RNA from Pteropus vampyrus (large flying fox), 119 nucleotides. The record is from Ensembl. Lineage: Eukaryota; Metazoa; Chordata; Mammalia; Chiroptera; Pteropodidae.
CUCUACCGCCACCCCACCCUGAACAAGCCCCAUCCCGUCUGACCUCGGAAGCUAAGCAGGGUCAUGCCUGGUUAGUACUUGGAUGGGAGACCACCUAGGAAGACCGGGUGCUGUAGGCC